UACGUCUAAUGGUUUUGAAGUACAACUUACAGAAACCAUUUUUAGAUUUAUGCAGGGUGCAAAUCCUUAUGCACCAUAACCGCGCCCGAUUGAAGAAUUGGUGCGUUCUAAAUUUGUACAUCUUAAUUAAGGGUGAAAUGGAUCUCCGCCGUUCCCUAUGUGUGGUACUCCUGGGAUGUAAAUUGAAGGGUUAUUAUAGAGUAGUUUUCUGUGUCUAGGUCGAUGUUUGUUCAGACCAACCGAUUUUUGUAAAUCAGUUGUUGGUGGCUGGUAAAUGAUCGGUCCAUCGGUUUGGGCAUGUAUUUGAUGCUUUGGAUUCCCUGCAAUAUUGGUAAGAGUGAUA
This 343-nucleotide long non-coding RNA is filed under the name Medicago truncatula (barrel medic). RNAcentral's name for it is "long non-coding RNA (MTRU_LNC008412)". The record is from RNAcentral. Lineage: Eukaryota; Viridiplantae; Streptophyta; Magnoliopsida; Fabales; Fabaceae.